CGAAAAUCCCCAUUCCGGAAGCAGUUCUUUCAGCUAUAUCAUUUGAGAUACCUUGCUAUAUCAAGUGACUCGUUAAAGAUCCUCCCUAAAUUCAUGGAGGACCUGUGGAAUCUACAAACCCUCAUAAUUUCGACUCAACAAGAGACAUUGAACAUAGAAGCAGACAUAUGUAACAUGCCACACCUUAGGCAUGUUCACACAAAUGCCUCUGGUAAAUUGUGUCCCUCUGUCCUAAAAACAAGAAAUCAUCGUAGUGCUUUACAAACGCUUUCUAUAAUAGAAGCUGAAACCUUGACAGAGGAUGUGUUUGCAAGGUGUCAAAAUCUGAAAAAGUUGGGUAUUCG
Molecule: unclassified non-coding RNA, 344 nt
Filed under: Hevea brasiliensis (rubber tree)
Lineage: Eukaryota; Viridiplantae; Streptophyta; Magnoliopsida; Malpighiales; Euphorbiaceae
Source: RNAcentral